RNAcentral lists this transfer RNA (72 nucleotides) under Bos taurus (domestic cattle). It matches the Rfam family "tRNA". Rfam says of the family: Transfer RNA (tRNA) molecules are approximately 80 nucleotides in length. Their secondary structure includes four short double-helical elements and three loops (D, anti-codon, and T loops). Further hydrogen bonds mediate the characteristic L-shaped molecular structure. tRNAs have two regions of fundamental functional importance: the anti-codon, which is responsible for specific mRNA codon recognition, and the 3' end, to which the tRNAs corresponding amino acid is attached (by aminoacyl-tRNA synthetases). tRNAs cope with the degeneracy of the genetic code in two manners: having more than one tRNA (with a specific anti-codon) for a particular amino acid; and 'wobble' base-pairing, i.e. permitting non-standard base-pairing at the 3rd anti-codon position. RNAcentral also lists the same sequence under 2 other names. The record is from Rfam by way of RNAcentral. Lineage: Eukaryota; Metazoa; Chordata; Mammalia; Artiodactyla; Bovidae.
GGGAGUAUAGCUCACUGGUAGAGCACAUGCUUUGCAUGUAUGAGGCCCCGGGUUUGAUCCCUGCCACCUCCA